GAUGGACGCUGGCGGCGUGCCUAAUACAUGCAAGUCGAGCGAACAGACGAGGAGCUUGCUCCUCUGACGUUAGCGGCGGACGGGUGAGUAACACGUGGAUAACCUACCUAUAAGACUGGGAUAACUUCGGGAAACCGGAGCUAAUACCGGAUAAUAUAUUGAACCGCAUGGUUCAAUAGUGAAAGACGGUUUUGCUGUCACUUAUAGAUGGAUCCGCGCCGCAUUAGCUAGUUGGUAAGGUAACGGCUUACCAAGGCAACGAUGCGUAGCCGACCUGAGAGGGUGAUCGGCCACACUGGAACUGAGACACGGUCCAGACUCCUACGGGAGGCAGCAGUAGGGAAUCUUCCGCAAUGGGCGAAAGCCUGACGGAGCAACGCCGCGUGAGUGAUGAAGGUCUUCGGAUCGUAAAACUCUGUUAUUAGGGAAGAACAAAUGUGUAAGUAACUAUGCACGUCUUGACGGUACCUAAUCGGAAAGCCACGGCUAACUACGU
RNAcentral lists this ribosomal RNA (496 nucleotides) under uncultured bacterium. RNAcentral's name for it is "partial 16S ribosomal RNA". It matches the Rfam family "Bacterial small subunit ribosomal RNA", at positions 28 to 506 of the family's 1533-position model. The record is from RNAcentral.